RNAcentral lists this ribosomal RNA (254 nucleotides) under uncultured bacterium. Its description in RNAcentral is "partial 16S ribosomal RNA". It matches the Rfam family "Bacterial small subunit ribosomal RNA", at positions 524 to 776 of the family's 1533-position model. The record is from RNAcentral.
UACAGAGGUGGCAAGCGUUGUUCGGAUUUACUGGGCGUAAAGGGCGCGUAGGCGGCCACCGCAAGUCGACUGUGAAAUCUCCGGGCUUAACCCGGAAAGGUCAGCCGAUACUGCGGGGCUAGAGUGCAGAAGGGGCAACUGGAAUUCUCGGUGUAGCGGUGAAAUGCGUAGAUAUCAGGAAGAACACCUAUGGCGAAGGCAGCUCUCUGGGACGGUACUGACGCUGAGACGCGAAAGCGUGGGGAGCGAACAGG